Long non-coding RNA from Salvia miltiorrhiza (redroot sage), 659 nucleotides. RefSeq lists it as uncharacterized. The record is from RefSeq and is a predicted model, not a curated record. NCBI's taxonomy places the organism in Eukaryota, Viridiplantae, Streptophyta, Magnoliopsida, Lamiales, Lamiaceae. The transcript has 3 exons.
UGCUUAGCUUUGAUAUAUAUGUUGAUCUAUAUCAGUUGCUUAAAAUUGCCUAUUUUCAAUUGUUUUUUGCAGGUAAUCAGUGGCAUUAAGAAGGGGAGCAACUGUGGUUCUGUUUUGGUGCACUCGGGAAGCAUUUCUCCUACCUAGGUGUCAUGUGUUAUUUUAAAAUCAGUUGGUUUCUCAAAUUCGUAGAGAUCGUUGUGAGUAGAGAAUGGACUGUAAUUCAGCAGUUUCCGGCAGCCACUCAAUAGAAAUUGGUUAACUUACACUCAAAAUUAAAGACGCAGAUCCCGGGUGCUUUGCAAUUUUUGCAGCUUGGAGAAAGCAGCGUUGCAUGCUUCGGGUGUACUGCGCAGGACAGGGAAGCACUUAUUCUUGAGGGACAACAACAAUGAAAAACCUCCUCUUCUGCUGCUCCAUAUCACCAAAGAUUUUGAUGAGCUUAAGUUCAUGUGAAGUUCCUUUGAGAUGGUGGUGUGGUGAGUUAGGUGGUGUUGUGGCUCCUUUGAGAUUACAGUGGUGUUACACCAUGAAUAGAAAUUCGGUGAAAAUCCCCUUUUUUUUUUUUUUUGAGUUGGGCUCAAAACAUUAUGUAUGAAGAUUUUAGAUGAUAAUGUAUGAAUAUUGUGUGAUUAUAAUAUUUUGAAUGUUAUAUAUUA